UACGGAGGGUGCAAGCGUUAUCCGGAUUCACUGGGUUUAAAGGGUGCGUAGGCGGACAGAUAAGUCAGUGGUGAAAUCCCCGAGCUUAACUUGGGAACUGCCAUUGAUACUAUUUGUCUUGAAUGUCGUGGAGGUUAGCGGAAUAUGUCAUGUAGCGGUGAAAUGCUUAGAUAUGACAUAGAACACCUAUUGCGAAGGCAGCUAACUACGCGAAUAUUGACGCUGAGGCACGAAAGCGUGGGGAUCAAACAGG
This 253-nucleotide ribosomal RNA is filed under the name uncultured bacterium. RNAcentral's name for it is "partial 16S ribosomal RNA". It matches the Rfam family "Bacterial small subunit ribosomal RNA", at positions 524 to 776 of the family's 1533-position model. The record is from RNAcentral.